This 397-nucleotide transfer-messenger RNA is filed under the name uncultured Prevotella sp. It matches the Rfam family "transfer-messenger RNA". From Rfam's summary of the family: Bacterial tmRNA, also known as 10Sa RNA or SsrA, is named for its dual tRNA and mRNA-like properties. Lineage: Bacteria; Pseudomonadati; Bacteroidota; Bacteroidia; Bacteroidales; Prevotellaceae. The record is from RNAcentral.
GGGGGUGACCGGAUUUGACGGCAAGCUGAGAUGGUGCGUAAGCAUGUGGAGUGAAGACUGUGUUCUCUUUAAUCAAGUCGGUCAAAAAAUUAAUUGGCAACAAUGAGUAUGCUCUCGCUGCCUAAUCGAAGUAUAGUAGAUUAACGGCUUAAUUCUCUUACUAGGUAGGAGAACGAGACAUCGCUCCGAGGGUGUGGUUCCGAAUCUGAGGAUCAAGCGGUGCAGUAAAAUCGGAAAUAGUCUUGCUAGGCCUCGGUGGCAGGAUGAAAUUUUGAGGAUAAGGAUGUAGUUGGUGGUCCAGGUCUUGCUGCAUCACGAAAAUAAAGUCUGGAAUAAGCAUGUAGAAAGCGCAUGGUUUCCUUGUUCGGACGAGGGUUCGACUCCCUCCACUUCCACU